UAGUAAUCGUAGGUCAGCAUACUACGGUGAAUACGUUCCCGGGCCUUGUACACACCGCCCGUCAAACCAUGAGAGUUGGCAACACCCGAAGUCGGUAGUCUAACCGCAAGGAGGACGCCGCCGAAGGUGGGGUUGAUGAUUAGGGUUAAGUCGUAACAAGGUACC
This 165-nucleotide ribosomal RNA is filed under the name uncultured bacterium. RNAcentral describes it as "partial 16S ribosomal RNA". It matches the Rfam family "Bacterial small subunit ribosomal RNA", at positions 1336 to 1500 of the family's 1533-position model. The record is from RNAcentral.